This 805-nucleotide unclassified non-coding RNA is filed under the name Dysgonomonas wimpennyi. Lineage: Bacteria; Pseudomonadati; Bacteroidota; Bacteroidia; Bacteroidales; Dysgonomonadaceae. The record is from RNAcentral.
AAGGAAGAAGAAGUAAGGGUUUUAUAUACUGUUGAGUCUUAUGUUUCAAAGUUUCGUAAUGUGUAACCUCGCGAACAAGAUCGCUCGGUCGCGGCUGCGCCGCUUAUACAACAGAAUACAAAUGUGCUUAUGAAAGCAAGCUUUCAACACACAUUUCCAUUCCGUUGUGCACGCAUUACUAGUAAGACACGAAAUUUCUGGUGCCGAUGCGCUUAGGGGAGACACCCGUUCCCAUCCCGAACACGAUGGUUAAGACUUAAGCGGCCGAUGGUACUAUGCUGGAGACGGCAUGGGAGAGCAGGUGGGUGCCAGAUUACUUUAAAAAAAUUCACUCUAACGAGUGUUUUAUAUAGAACGGACAUGUUCCAAUGGGCGGAGGGAAAAGCGAAGCCUGUGUUUAAAGAAUAUGUUAACCUGAUUCAGCAGGGCAGUGCUGUUUUAUAUAGCUGGUUUUUACCAGUGAUUCGUGGGUUCGAGCUGAUCGAGCAAGCGAAUGACUGAUAAACUUCAGUCAGGUGAUGCUGUUAUGAAGUAUGUUAAUCGCAUUUCAGAUUACAUCACGCAUGUACCUUGAAAACCACAUAUUGAAAUAUAUCUAGAUAGAGUUUUUAUAUGUCAAAGUAUAAAGACGAUAUCAAGACAUCCGAGGUGUUACAUCUAACGAUGUAACCAAACAAAACUCGUUAAAGUAACCGUAACGUACGGUGAAAUAACAAACCUAAGACCAGAGAUACAACGCUAUGUAUCUUAGAUCAGUAGCCCGCACCCGCAGGUGAACAUCGAAUUGGUUAAGCUAUAAAGAGCG